GAGAGAGCGUUGCCGCAGGCAACGCCCCGAAGGGCGAAGCGCGCAGCGCUGAGUAAUCCUUCCCCCACCACCA
RNAcentral lists this small RNA (73 nucleotides) under Escherichia coli. RNAcentral's name for it is "partial RtT sRNA". It matches the Rfam family "RtT RNA", at positions 59 to 130 of the family's 130-position model. From Rfam's summary of the family: This family represents a bacterial cis-regulatory element known as RtT RNA. The exact function of RtT is unknown although it is thought that it may be involved in changing the cellular response in relation to amino acid starvation. Lineage: Bacteria; Pseudomonadati; Pseudomonadota; Gammaproteobacteria; Enterobacterales; Enterobacteriaceae. The record is from RNAcentral.